This 67-nucleotide transfer RNA is filed under the name Gehyra xenopus. RNAcentral describes it as "tRNA-Trp". Lineage: Eukaryota; Metazoa; Chordata; Lepidosauria; Squamata; Gekkonidae. The record is from RNAcentral.
AGAAAUUUAGGUUAAAUAAAACCAGGAGCCUUCAAAGCCCCAGACAAGAGAACACUCUUAAUUUCUG